This 476-nucleotide ribosomal RNA is filed under the name Thysanoessa longipes. RNAcentral's name for it is "partial 16S ribosomal RNA". It matches the Rfam family "Bacterial large subunit ribosomal RNA", at positions 1797 to 2537 of the family's 2925-position model. Lineage: Eukaryota; Metazoa; Arthropoda; Malacostraca; Euphausiacea; Euphausiidae. The record is from RNAcentral.
CGCCUGUUUAUCAAAAACAUGUCUUUAUGUGAUAUUUAUAAAGUCUGGCCUGCCCACUGAAUAAUAUUAAAGGGCCGCGGUAUCUUGACCGUGCAAAGGUAGCAUAGUCAUUUGUCUUUUAAUUGGAGGCUUGUAUGAAUGGUCGCACAAGAAAUAACUUGUCUUAAAUGAAUAUAUUGAAUUUAACUUUUAAGUAAAAAGGCUUAAAUAAAUUAAAGUGACGAUAAGACCCUAUAAAACUUUAUAAUUUAAGUUAAAAAAAUGUAUUAGUUAUUUAAAAUUUUUUUAAUUGAGUUUAUUUUAUUGGGGCGAUAAAAAUAAAAAUAGUAACUGUUUUUAAAAUUUUAAUGAUAAUUGUCAGUGUUAUUUAAUGAUCCUUUAUUAAAGAUUAUAAGAUUAAGUUACUUUAGGGAUAACAGCGUAAUUUUCUUUGAGAGCUCUUAUCUACAAGAAAGAUUGUGACCUCGAUGUUGAAU